Molecule: long non-coding RNA, 1137 nt
Organism: Mirounga angustirostris (Northern elephant seal)
Lineage: Eukaryota; Metazoa; Chordata; Mammalia; Carnivora; Phocidae
Exons: 3
Source: RefSeq, a predicted model, not a curated record
CCUCGGUGCUACCACCCACUCCUGCCGGCGUUUGUGGAGGGAAGUGGCAGCGAGCGAGUUGGGCACGAGAGCGGAAAGGGGUCUGGUGGUCCGCGAUCAUCUCAGAUGCCUGGGCCGGGUGGUCGAGAAGUUGCUCCUAGCCCCCAGGGAGCGAGUGCCCUUUUGCGGACGCCCAAAACGGGCGGUUUCGUUUCUCUUUCAAACCACAGCCAGGCUGGUGCGAUGUUUUGGAAAGGAGUUAAAAACGGCUGACUUUGGGUCAAGGUUAGGGAAACCGCACUACCCGGGGGGGUCAGGCGACAACUGAGCUUCCUCGGGGCUUUACGCAGAGUCUCUCCGUCGACAAGGCAAAAGGGGCUUGCUUGCGGAUUUUAAAACUCUGGCUUCCCAACGGGCAGCGCUCCCUCCAAAUUUUCCCAAGUACACUCGAGUCCCAGCGGGGGGGGGGGGAGUGAGAGGUUGCCCCCACGAAUUAACUGUCCUCCGAAUCCAAACAACUGAUGGAAAAACCCAGCCGGCCUUAGCGUUGGCAGGUAAAUGGAAAGAUGACGUUGCUUUCUUGUAUUGUGGGAAGUAACUUAAAAUUUCCAAUGCCAUGCAUGGAAGUGGUUCAACAAUCAAUAAAGCGGAUGCAGGCAAAUAGCGGGAGAUCACUGGCUCACCUACCCUGUUCUAACUUUCGAAAAUCGGCUACUACAGUCCACUUACCUACCACCCGGAACUGAAGAUCUUGUUCUUCUGCCCUCUGUGGUUUCCGUAAGCAAAGAGAGAGAGAGACACUGAGAGCAGGAACAGAAGCAGGAGGAGUGGGAGAGGGAGAAGCAGGCCCCCCGAUGAGCAGGGAGCCGGAUGCGGGGCUCGAUCCCAGGAUCCUGGGAUCAUGACCUGAGCCAAAGGCAGAUGCUUAACGACUGAGCCACCCAGGAAAGAAGAUGCAAGAAGGAAAUGCUUGAGGAUAAAUCAAAAUCCCAAAAUGUGGACAAACUAAACAGGAUCAGAGAAGAAAAAGUGACAGAAAGAAACUUGGUCUUCCAAUAAUAAUAAUUUACAAAGGACUUUUUGAAAUGGCAAGUUUGUCCAGUAUGUGUAUAAUGAAAUUUGAUUUACCAAAAUUCAAUCCUUAUCUAAGAAUCUACA